UCGGUAUGUACUGGCUUUACUGAUUCCUCCUUCUUGACGAACUGUGAUGUCAUUAAUUUGGUGUUGCGGGAAAUCAGAACUGUUACUUUGAAAAAAUUAGAGUGUUUAAAGCAGGCUAACGCUUGAAUACAUUAGCAUGGAAUAAUGAAAUAGGACGUUAAUCCUAUUUUGUUGGUUUCUAGGAUCGACGUAAUGAUUAAUAGGGAUAGUUGGGGGCAUUAGUAUUCAAUUGUCAGAGGUGAAAUUCUUGGAUUUAUUGAAGACUAACUACUGCGAAAGCAUUUGCCAAGGAUGUUUUCAUUAAUCAAGAACGAAAGUUAGGGGAUCGAAAACAAUCAAAUACCGUCGUAGUCUUAACCAUAAACUAUGCCAACAAGCGAUCGGAUGAUGUU
RNAcentral lists this ribosomal RNA (392 nucleotides) under uncultured Glomeromycotina. RNAcentral describes it as "SSU rRNA". It matches the Rfam family "Eukaryotic small subunit ribosomal RNA", at positions 670 to 1064 of the family's 1831-position model. The record is from RNAcentral. Lineage: Eukaryota; Fungi; Glomeromycota.